GACGAACGCUGGCGGCGUGCCUAAUACAUGCAAGUCGAACGCAGAGGGGACGGGUGAGUAACACGUGGGUAACAUCCCAGCAGAGGGGAAAAAACAUGGAAACAGGUGCUAAACCGAUAAUGAUGGAUGGACCGGGGGUGCAUUAGCUAGUUGGUGAGGUAACGGCUCACGAAGGCCACGAUGGAUAGCCGACCUGAGAGUGUGAUCGGCCACACGGAAACUUAGACACGGCCAAGACUCCUACGGGAGGCAGCAGUAGGGAAUCUUCCGCAAUGUGCGAAACUCGGACCGAGCAACGCCGCGUGUGUGAAGAAGUUUUUCGGAUCUUAAAACUCUUUUGUUAGUGAAGCGUUAUCUGACCAGAAAGCUACGGCUAACUGCGUGCCAGCAGCCGCGGUAAUAC
RNAcentral lists this ribosomal RNA (403 nucleotides) under uncultured bacterium. RNAcentral describes it as "partial 16S ribosomal RNA". It matches the Rfam family "Bacterial small subunit ribosomal RNA", at positions 28 to 526 of the family's 1533-position model. The record is from RNAcentral.